UUUUCUUUAUUCUGGAUUGAGACUCAUUCUUUUGGUAACUAAGGUAAACAACAUAGAAAAAUCACUUAUAUUGAACCCUGUGCCUCGAGGUAAAACCUGCUCAGACACCAAAACAAACAAGCGAACAAAAUUUUUCUGCCCCAGUUUUCACUAAGAAAAUUUCGUGAGUUAUUUGUAACUAAAAUCUAAACUAUUUCUUUUUUUUUUCUUUUUUUUUAAGGCGAUAAAAUAAAUAUUGUGUGCCUUUAUGAUAAAGAGAUUAGGAAGUGGAGCCCUAUAUCUAAAAUAACCUCAACUAGGGAUUGGAGCCAUAUGUUGGCAAAUUCUAGACUGGCAGGUUCGUCAGUUGAGAUCGAAGAGUUUUCCUUCUGUUCGUGUUCAAUGGAGAGGUCAGCCUCCUAAGGCAUCAACCUGGGAGUUCGAGUCCGAUAUGCGGAGCCGUUAUCCCCAUCUUUUCCCCGACUCAGGUACUUCCUUCUUCUGUCUGUUCGAGGACGAACGGUUGUUUUAGAGGUGGAGAAUGUGAUGACCCAAAAGGUCAUCACAUGUGUUGCAAUAAAAUUCUAUGUUCUGAGGCCUUAAAAACCUCCCUUAGCACCACCUCAAUUUGUGUGCGUAGUCCGGGCGCGUAGCCGGAAAGCUUAAAUGUGAAAAUCUGUGAAAAAGGAUAAGUUUUGACUGUAAAAUGAAUAAAUUUGACUUCGGUCAAUGUUUUGGGUAAAUGGACCCGGACCCGUAAUUUGACGGUUCCGAAGGGUACAUAGAAAAAUUUGGGACUCAGGCAUAUACCCGGAAUCGGAUUCCGAGGUCCCAAGCCCGAGAAAUGAAUUUUUUUUUAAAGAAAAUUAUUUUCUGAAAUUGUUUAAAGAAAUUUGAAAUGAAAUUUGCUUAGAACAUGAUGGUAUCGGGCCCGUAUUUUGGUUCCGGCGCUCGGUACAGGUCUUAUAUAUGAUUUAAGACGUUUCUGUGGAAUUUGGCGAAAAACGGAUGUCAUUUGACGUGAUUCGAACUUAAAUUGCAAAAUUGAUGUUUAAAGAAGUUUUGAGAAAAUUUCAUUGAUCUCGAGGUUUACUUUGAUGUUCAUGAUGUUAUUUUGAUGAUUUGAUUAUACAACUAAGUCUAUAGGAUAUUUUUGAGGUUUUGUGUACACUUGGUUUGGAGUUCCGAGGGCUCGGGUGAGUUUCGGGUAGGUUCCGGGAUGUCUUAGGCUUAAAAACAUAGGUGUUACAGGUUCAGAGAGGUGGAAGGCCUCUGAACCAACCAGUGCGGUCCGCACAAAAAGGAAUGCUGCCGCGGAGGGGAUUGUGCGGCCACACUGGAUUUUGUGCGGACUGCGGUGAGGGCCUGUGCGGCCGCACUAGUUUUGGUGCGGUCGGCGGUGAAGAGCAAUUCACUGGUCCUACUUCGAAAGCCUAUAUCUUUUGAUUUACAAGGCCUUUUGAGAUGCUUCAAAAAUGAAAGUUGUAGUCCUUCGUAUUUAGUUUCUAGAAAGGUAAAGAAAUCACAAUUUGGACAUCUAUAGAGAAAGUUAUGACCAAAAUACUAAGACCUAUCACUGCAGAACACAGGAAGCCUGUGCGACCGCGGUUGAUUUUGUGCGGUCCGCACAUGGCAUCUGAGGGCAGUAUAUUUAGAUGGGAUUUUCAGUUAUUUUUCAUUUUUUAAGACCCCAAAAAUAUAAGAGGCGAUUUUUCAAACAACCUUUCUUCUCCAAAUCAAUUGUAAGUCAUUUUUAACUAGUUUUCUUUAAUCAUUAACAUCUUUUAACAUGAUUUCAACUUCAAAUCAAUGAUUUUCAUGGGGGAAAUUGGGGUGUUUUGGGUAGAACCUAGGUUUUUCAAAAAAUUGGGGAUUUGGACCUCAAUUUGAGGUCCAAUUUCAAAACAAAUUACAUAUUUGAGCUCGUGGGGAAAUGGGUAAUCGUGUUUUGGUUCGAACCUCGGGUUUUGACCAUGUGGGCCUAGGGGCGAUUUUGACUUUUUGGGUAAAACUUUGGAAAAUUCAUUUUCAUGCAUUCAAAUUGAUUCAUUUAGCGUUUAUUGAUGUAAUUAAGUAACUUGUGACUAGAUACGAACGAAUUGGUGGUGGAAUCAAGGGGUAAAGCUAUAAUUGAAUCGCGAAUUGUGUUCGUGGCAUCAAGGUAAGUGUUUGGUAUAACCUUAGCUUGAGGGAUUAGGAGUUGUGUCCUAUUUGCUAUUUGCUACUUGUUGAGUACGAUGUAUAGGGAUGGUGACGAGUAUCUAUAUGUUGGUGUCAAGCAUGAUCGUGGGUCUUAUAUUGUGAUUUUCAUGACUUCGUUGUAUUAUUCAUGUCUUGGUGAAGAUUUCUAUUUGUUGUGUAAAGUUGUGGAAAAGAAUUAUGACCUAUGAAAAUUGAGGAGCGUUGGCUCCAGUUGUAUAAUGAAUUGUGAAAGUAUAAGUAAUAAUUGAAACUCUAGAGUAUUGGUUCGAGUUGUGAAGUAAAUUGUGAAGUAGAAGUGAGAAAGAGAAGAGAUCAUUAUGUUGGCCCCUUGCCGGGCUAUUGUUGAGUUGUGGUUCCCUUGCAUUGUGUUCUUAAUUGAUAUUAUGGAUGUUUAGGUUGAUGAUUCUUGUGUUAGGUGUUGUAACAAGUUUGGUUAUAGCUGAGGUGGUUAGGUGUUGUAACAACUUUGGUUAUAGCUGAGGUAGUUAGAUGUUGUAACAAGUUUGGUUAUAGCUGAGGUAGUUAGGUGUUGUAACGAGUUUGAUUAUAGCUGAAGUAGUUAGAUGUUGUAACAAGUUUGGUUAUAGCUAUUUCUCCCUUGUCGGGAUAUUAUUUGUCGAUAUUAUUUUUUCCUUGCCGGGAUUCCUUGUGAUUAUUGUUGGCUUGUCAUGGGAGCGGGUGGUAUGUCUACCACAAGAUAUAAUAAAAUAGGAGCGGGUGGUACGCCUACCACAAGACAUAAUGAAAUAGGAGCGGGUGGUACGCCUACCACAAGAUAUAAUGAAAUGGGAGCGGGUGGUACUCCUACCAUGUGAUAAAUGAAAUGGGAGCGGGUGGCAUGCCUGCCACGAGAUAUAAUGAAAUNNNNNNNNNNNNNNNNNNNNNNNNNCCUCGUCACUACCUCGCCGGGGUUAGGUCAGGCACUUACCAGCACAUGAGGUCGGUUGUGCUGAUACUACACUGAGCUAGGCAGACCUCAGUGUUUUAAACUUCGGACAGCAGUGAGAUUGCUGAUUCUUGUUCAUCAGGCGACCCGAGGUAGCCCUGCAGGCGUCCGUAGGCCUUGGUGUCUCCUUCCAUCUACUUUCCUGUUUCUUACAUGUAUUUCCAGAGACAGUGUUGUAUUUAAUUCUUUCAGGCCUUUAUUUGUAGUAUUCUUAGACCGUCUGUGAAACUGUGACACCAGUUCUGGGUAUUCGAGACUCAAACAGUUGCAUUAGACAUUCAAGUUCAGAUGGCUUAUUGUUUUCGUCCGCUUAUGUUAUAUUCCUUUUUUAAAUGUUAUUUCUUCGUAAUUGUUAAAGAGAAUAAAAUUGGAAAAAAGAUAGAUGGUUAAAUAAUUGGCUUGCCUAGCUCACAUUAGUAGGCGCCAUCAUGACCCCCGAGGUGGGAAAUUCGGGUCGUGACAGCACACUUCCCAGAUGAUUUAGAAGACUCAGAGAGAAGAGGGUUUCAUAACAGUUUUAUAUACAGUUCACACAAUAUCAAAGCGGUAAAAAGCGACACUUAGCAUACUAGGCUCAAAAUAUGUAAAAAUCAGAUAAUAAAUAAAGUCAAGUAUAACAGUUAUCCUAAGCUCAAAUUCUUGAACCCUGAACCGAAGUUAUGGGUUUGGAUCCCCAGCGAAGUCACCAAAGCUGUCACAGCUCUUUUUUACGCACCCGAAAGUAGUACAAGGGAGUUUUUCCAUUUUAAGUGACAUUAUUCGAAAUGGGAUUAUUUAUUCAAUUCAGAGUCGCCACUUGAAAUAUUUUAAUUGGUGUUCCAGGUCACCGGUUUAUUUUAAAUCCCAAAUCGAGGAAAUUUUGACUUUCCUUUUGAAGUUUGCGAACCAAAAAUUCUGAAUAAGGAAUUUUGUUAACCUGAGGGAAGGUGUUAGGCACCCCCGGAUUCCAUGGUUCUAGCACGGUCGCUUAAACUAUCAUAAUUGGCCUAUUAUCUGAUUCCAAUACAUGUUUUAACCUAUCAUACAUUUUAACUCGUUAAACUGCUUUUAAUUAUUUUUAGGAAGAUUCAACGUUAUUUAAAACACGCCUUGAACCACGUCACAUGAAAUGCACCCGCGGUCCACGACACAUUUUAUUUAACGUUGUUGAGAUUUGGAUUUGGGUCACAUAAAAUGCACACCCGAGUUUAAGGAAAUUAAUUUAAAUAGCGUGCCUAAAGCAACUACGCACUUUCAAGUUUGCGAGGGCCAUGGAAAAUCCAGCUAAUGUCAUGCCUCGAUUUCUAAAGAGUUAAUAUUAAUUAAAUGAGGGCCAUGGGUUAUUUAAUGAGAAUGGCACCAAAAUUAUUAGCUCAAAAUCCUAAAUCAAUGAACUGUUGGUUUGUCUCCAAUUAAAUUAUCCAUGCAGCAAUAAAAAAAUUGUCUCACUAGAUAUUAUCCAAAACAUGACAACCAGGAGGAAUUCACAUAUGAACAUUUAAAGCAUGAUUCAAUAUUUGACCACAUAAAGGUAAACCACACACAGUACUAAUAUUGGUUACAACCAAGCAAUUCAAACUAUUCUCACGUGAUUGUAUACCAAACAUGGUUAUGUAUCAUUCAUUUACAUUCGGAAAUAUCUAUUUUACUAUGUGCUUCAUGAAUUGUCUUAAACAAAAAAAUCAGUUACCCACUUAUUCUUUGGUUCACUUCAAAAAUCGCAAGAUGCCUCUGUCAUUUAAUAUUCACAACAAACUCAUGGAAAAGUUCAUCACAACAAAGAAUUAAAAAGCAUUCAAAGCUUUCUCAUCACAGAUGCAUUAAUAGAAUCCAAACAAACAAAUGGAAAAGGAUUUGAUGGCAAACGAAAAUUUUAAAACAAAAAAAAAACACUAAGGAAUUCAAAUAGCAAGGGUAAGAAUGAACCUUAAUAUUCAGUAAAUAAACUUCUUCAAUAGAUGAAAACCCAAAGCUCCUGACGUCGACAAACUACAUGAAUUCCAAAGAUUACAACCUCAAUAAAGAGUCAAACAAGAUCCACGACAUGAGCACUCGAACGACGACCUCGACGGAACCUCCGAUUUUGGUGAUGUCGGAACUGUUUGCAGCUGGUUCUGCUGCUGGUUCGAUGGCUGAAGAAGCAGUGUGUUUCCGCUGUAAUUUUGAAGCUAUUUUGGGGCUUAAUUUGGAGGUCAUUUUGGACAUGGGUUUUGGGGCGACGCAGCUGGUUUUAAAGCUGCAUUAAUAGAGAUUUUCGGACUGGUUUUAAUGGUGAAAAUGUCGUUGUUAUCUGGUGAAUUUUGAAGGUUAUUUGCUAGAGUUUUGUAUAGAAACAGGGACUGUGUUUGAGGUUGGAGGGAGAUACUUCAAUGGCUGAUUUUUUAGAAAACUUUGUAGAUGUUUUAACGAAGGAAAGGGGUAUAGCUCAUGGUGUCCAUGAUGGCUUAAGGAGGAUUGUCCCGUUUGGAGAGGAAGCACCAGAUUUUAUUUUGCGUUUUUGCUGAAGAAACG
RNAcentral lists this long non-coding RNA (5617 nucleotides) under Nicotiana tabacum (common tobacco). Its description in RNAcentral is "long non-coding RNA (NTAB_LNC003714)". The record is from RNAcentral. Lineage: Eukaryota; Viridiplantae; Streptophyta; Magnoliopsida; Solanales; Solanaceae.